AAAAACUGUGGUCACCAUCUAGUCUUGUGCUGCCCGAUCUGUCUAGAUCUGGGGAUUACCUGUACACAUUAAAUAGAGAGGGGUGAGUUUACGUAAACUCAGUGUGUAAUCCCACAGAAAAUGAACAAUAGUAAACACAGUGCACAGUUAAAAACAGUCUUGAGCCUAAGCCCCUUUCAGUAUUAGUAAUGGUUUAGCCUUAGCCCAACUCAGUAUCAGUAUCAGUAUGCACAAAGGCUUUAACUCAUCACAGUAUCAGUAAUAGAUAUACAAUAUUCAGUAACAAAGUCCUACCCAACCAACCUCUACACACUAUCUCCGUCCAACCCUACAAUCUAUAUGUGGAUUAAAUCAACUCACCCAUCCCUACACUCCAGAUAGUACCGAAUGCAGUACAAAACAGUGGAUUGCAACUGAACUGCCAGUAUAUUAGGCUUAAGAGCCUUUCAGUACACUUCCUCCAAAUAAAAUCAACCCAAUCCCCAGACAAUGCACAUACAAUACAUGACAUGUUAUGUCAUGAUAUCAGUACAUAUAAUCAGUAAAUGUAUACAUGCAUACUAUCAUCAUACUCAAUAUAUAUCCAUCAAUCAGUCAGUUCACACAAUUAGGGGUCUAAGUAAUGCUUAUCGACCCUAGAAUAGGUUCACAGUUGACUUGGGCGACCCAUGCAACCCUAGCAAUCAAUUCAGUGAAAAUGGGCUCACACGCCUAUGUGAUCUGCUCGUGUGGGCCCACACGCCCAUAUGGCCCACAUGGCCCAAAAUUUUCUUGUCAUGUGGAUCACAUGGCCUGACCCAGAAUCCCACACGCCCGUGUGGCCUACACAGCUUAAAUUAGUCCAGUCCGUGUGUCGCACACGGUUUGCUUGGCCAUCACAUGGUCGUGUCGUACGUGCACUGCCUGGCCUCGUCGAACACACGCCCUUGUUAGAGCACACAACCUACCACAUGAGCAACCACACGUCCCUGUGGCGUCGAUAGUGUUGAGUACACACCUGCUACAGAUUAGAUGCAAAAACACCUCCGAGCCUUCUAGAACUUAUAAUGGACAUACAACGCUCCAAAAUCAGUCACAAUUCUCAAUUUAAAUCGAAACCCAACAUUGACAAUAGUCCAAAAAGGACAUUCAACAUUUACCCCAACUAUCCUGAAAGAUUGCGUUCACACUUCCGCACACGGAGAGCCCCUUACUUCUUGAUUUACUGCUGUCAAAAUAGCAAAUCAGAUUCCAAUAGAAAGAAUCCAAAAAUUCAAAAACAAACAACAAAAGAAACCCAUAAUCGAGCCACAAUAAAUGUAACUUACCUAUGUAAAACAUAGUGCCGAAAAGGAAAAACAAACCUUGCUGGAACGGAAAAGAAAAGAAAAGAUUUUGUUCGAAAAGAAAAGGGAAAACAUAAGAGGAAGAAAGGUGAACGUCAGUUUUUUUUCUAUAGGAGAGAUUUUUGGGGAAAACUGAUUUACUCAAAUAUCACUGCCUACACUAUCUCAACCACCCAGUUCUUAGAUUUUCGGUACAACUCAAACUCUCAGCCACCAAACUGAGCAAAAAUAAUCUCUUUUGCCCACGCAGAGAUUCAAACGCAGAACCUCCAACAGUUUGACACUCCACUUAACCUCUAGACCAGCAAACCCAUUCUGUUAAAAGCUUACCAACAAUUAAAUAUAAGCCCGCUAAACUAGUAUCAGGCUUAAUUCUAAAAUAACCCAAAAUUUGUCAAAAACAAGACUUGAACUUGGGAACCCCCCUCCACACCUAGAACAUUUAACCACUGAACCAGAUACACAAUUGCCACAUUUUCACAAUAACAAAAAUAAGAAUUUUGGGGCAUUACAAUAAGUCUAGGGUCUCUCAACACUUCUUUCGACUUGUGCCCCUCCGUGUCCAGGACAAUGGCGUCAUGGUUCGAUCUCGCCUGACGUAUCACCUUAGUUUCGAAGAAAGGAAAUUUAUUUACAAGUGAAUUAUUUAAUAUAAGAAUAUUUUUUUAUAAAAACAUAUUAUUUACUUUAAUGUAAUAACUUUUAAAAAAUAUAUAAUUCACAAUUUAAAAUUAAGUUAAAAUUUGAAAUUAUAAUUUUUAUUUCAAAGAGAAAAUAUUUGGGUACACUGUCAGUGAAGUUUUUAGACUCCACAAAUAGGGUCAGUGGUUGAUAAGUAUCCUAUAGGGAUAUAGUAAAAUAUUUUAAAAAUAAAACACGUGACAAUUUUUUAAGUUUGCUUGUAAAACACAUGCCAAUAUACCAAAUAUUAACUCAUUUUCAAAUAGAUAAUAUAAAUAUGAUGAUAUUUACAUAGAUUAUAUAAUUCUUUACCAAAUAGACUACUUAUAAUUUUUUACAAUUUUAAUUAAAAAUUUACUAUUAUCUUGUAUUAUCAAAUUUUUAGUUCAUGUAUCAUUUAAUAUUAUUUUAUCUAUAAUAGUUUUUAAUUUGUCACUAUGUUUAUUUUUAUGUCAUUAACUAAUUAUUAUUAUUUUAAUAUUAAUAUAUAUUUUUUAUUUUACAAAAUAAAGCAGUUGGGGAAUUAUUUCCCAAAAUGUGUUUUUUUGGUAUUAAAAGACAUUGACAUUUUUUAAGGGUAAAAGCUAGUGUAUUUAAAUAUCCAUAGCAUUUCACAUUACAACGUCAUUGAGAGCAUCAAGGUCAUCCAAAUCAAUUGCAUUAUUACCUGCUAAUCUAACUAAAUGAUGUGCAAUUAAAUUACUAGUACUAAUAUACAAAAAGGAAAUAGAGGUACAAGAGCUAAUAAUUUUACAAGCCUCUAUUAGGUGCAUGUCAAGCAAGGAUAAAUUUGUACCUUUCGAAUGAAGUCUAUUGAUCACAACCAUGGAGUCACCUUUGAUCAUGACGCUAGGGUAGCCUCUAUCCUUAGUAAAUUUGAGAGUCAUGAUAUAAACCCUUGCCUUUGUUAAUGCGGAAUUUCGAUGAGAAAAAUCUCGAACAUACAAACAACAAAUCAAAUAGAAAAAAAAAACGAAACAAUAAGACGAGGUUCUAAGGCGUGUAUCAAUCCACUAUAUUUAAGGUUCUAUUCGCCUCCACAUAUACUUGGAGCGAAAAUGAGUUUCAAGCAAAUGAAUCUCAAUGAUAUAAUGAAGCCCGGUGACUAUUUGUGUUUUGCACUGACAAAAAUAGUUC
RNAcentral lists this long non-coding RNA (3143 nucleotides) under Gossypium barbadense (sea-island cotton). RNAcentral's name for it is "long non-coding RNA (GBAR_LNC008367)". The record is from RNAcentral. Lineage: Eukaryota; Viridiplantae; Streptophyta; Magnoliopsida; Malvales; Malvaceae.